RNAcentral lists this ribosomal RNA (393 nucleotides) under uncultured bacterium. RNAcentral's name for it is "partial 16S ribosomal RNA". It matches the Rfam family "Bacterial small subunit ribosomal RNA", at positions 523 to 918 of the family's 1533-position model. The record is from RNAcentral.
AUACGUAGGUGGCAAGCGUUAUCCGGAAUUAUUGGGCGUAAAGCGUGCGUAGGCGGUUUAUUAAGUCUGAUGUUAAAUCCCACAGCUCAACUGUGGGCUGCCAUUGGAAACUGGUAGACUUGAGUGCGGUAGAGGUAAGUGGAAUUCCCAGUGGAGCGGUGGAAUGCGUAGAUAUUUGGAGGAACACCAGUGGCGAAGGCGGCUUACUGGGCCGUUACUGACGCUGAGGCACGAAAGCGUGGGGAUCAAACAGGAUUAGAUACCCUGGUAGUCCACGCAGUAAACGAUGAUGACUAACCGUCGGUCAAGACUGAUCGGUGGCCAAGCGAAAGCGAUAAGUCAUCCACCUGGGGAGUACGACCGCAAGGUUGAAACUCAAAGGAAUUGACGGGG